This 286-nucleotide long non-coding RNA is filed under the name Volvox carteri. Its description in RNAcentral is "long non-coding RNA (VCAR_LNC002440)". The record is from RNAcentral. Lineage: Eukaryota; Viridiplantae; Chlorophyta; Chlorophyceae; Chlamydomonadales; Volvocaceae.
CGACACGCGUUAGCUUUCCACCGAUAAACGAUUUGAAGGCCUUUACCCAGGAACCACCACCAGCUGAAGGCAGCACGCUCAGUACGACAGCACGAAGUACACCGGCGCGGCCUGGUUACGAAUAAACCUGUUUCAUCAUCCGACAUGACUAAGUCGCAUAUUCCUUCGCCGGCCAAGCUCAGUGCGAUCAAGUGAAAAGCCCAAUCACGGUCAGUUUUCAUUCCCGCAUUUCCUGACUUGGCUUGUUGAUUCCGUAUGAGGUCUUAUGAGCAGCUGCCGCACAGCC